CGCACCUUGCGCUCCUUGGUAUUCCGAGGAGCAUGCCUGUUUGAGUGUCAUGUUUAUCUCAGCCCUCUUAGACUUUGAUGUCUGAGUGGAGUCUGGACUUGGAGGCUGCUAGCGCAAUCUAGCUUCUCUGAAAUGUAUUAGUGUGAAUAUUACUAAAUGUUCUCCAGUGUGAUAAUUGUCUGCACUGUUAGAUCUUUGGUGAAAAUUAUUGUUCAUGCUUAUAAUCGUCCUCUGGACAAUCCAUUUGCAUUUGACCUCAAAUCAGGUAGGACUACCCGCUGAACUUAA
This 288-nucleotide unclassified non-coding RNA is filed under the name Polyporales sp. RNAcentral describes it as "partial contains 5.8S ribosomal RNA, internal transcribed spacer 2, and large subunit ribosomal RNA". The record is from RNAcentral. Lineage: Eukaryota; Fungi; Basidiomycota; Agaricomycetes; Polyporales.